RNAcentral lists this transfer RNA (76 nucleotides) under Corynebacterium flavescens. RNAcentral describes it as "tRNA-Leu". It matches the Rfam family "tRNA". From Rfam's summary of the family: Transfer RNA (tRNA) molecules are approximately 80 nucleotides in length. Their secondary structure includes four short double-helical elements and three loops (D, anti-codon, and T loops). Further hydrogen bonds mediate the characteristic L-shaped molecular structure. tRNAs have two regions of fundamental functional importance: the anti-codon, which is responsible for specific mRNA codon recognition, and the 3' end, to which the tRNAs corresponding amino acid is attached (by aminoacyl-tRNA synthetases). tRNAs cope with the degeneracy of the genetic code in two manners: having more than one tRNA (with a specific anti-codon) for a particular amino acid; and 'wobble' base-pairing, i.e. permitting non-standard base-pairing at the 3rd anti-codon position. Lineage: Bacteria; Bacillati; Actinomycetota; Actinomycetes; Mycobacteriales; Corynebacteriaceae. The record is from RNAcentral.
GCACCUCUAGCCCAACGGCAGAGGCAACGGAUUUAGGUUCCGUUCAGUGCAGGUUCGAAUCCUGCGAGGUGCACAA